CAAACCUGAAGGAGAAGAUGUGGCCUGAAUGCUAAGUUGUUAAAAUGGUGUAUAAACAGUGAUUGAAGAGUGCUGUGGAUAGGAAAAUGGAGAAAAGGGGAUUACUUGGGAUUUUUUAAAAGGUAGGUAACAGGUAACAACAGGUAACACCUCAAGCAACGCAAGGCAAAGACAAAGAGAGUAAAGGCACAAGGUGAGUCCGUGUUCAUUCCUGUUGUAGGAAGCCACCCUCUGAAAUGAUCCACAUGGACCCCCCACGUGUGAACAUGUAGGAAUCCACUGGGCUACGUUCUGCAGCAGCGCCGUACCCGACAGUGUAGCUGUGGGCAUCAUGGAAGUGUAGCUAAGAUCUUGCUGGUGUUUGUGAUCUCUUCUGGGUUAUGCCCUGCCCUGCUCUGUGGCAUAUGGAAUAUGUUCCAUGGUUGGCAAGGAUCUCUCGCGUGAAUGGCAGUGAGAAAGCAGAAUUUUACCUCCUCCUUCUUUGCCAAGGCGAGCAAUCUACUGAUGAAAAAGAAAAAGAAAACUGUGUUGCCCAUGCUCACCUGGGGUCUGGAAGCAGAUAAUCCCUCUGACAUAGUCUUAGAAGGUCAAUAAUAGCUGAAUGCUACAUCACAAUGCUGGCAUCCCACCUCACUUCAUCUUAUUAUGUAUCAUUUUAUU
This is a non-coding RNA of Leptonychotes weddellii (Weddell seal), 660 nucleotides long. NCBI's taxonomy places the organism in Eukaryota, Metazoa, Chordata, Mammalia, Carnivora, Phocidae. The record is from RefSeq and is a predicted model, not a curated record.